GAUGAACGCUGGCGGCGUGCUUAACACAUGCAAGUCGAACGAGAAAUGUAGACGGAAACCUUCGGGCGGAAGCCUUCAUUUCGAGUGGCGGACGGGUGAGUAACGCGUGGGUAACCUGCCUCAUACAGGGGGAUAACAGUUGGAAACGACUGUUAAUACCGCAUAAGACCACAGCAUCGCAUGAUGCGGGGGUAAAAACUCCGGUGGUAUGAGAUGGACCCGCGUUCGAUUAGCCAGUUGGCGGGGUAACGGCCCACCAAAGCGACGAUCCAUAGCCGAUCUGAGAGGAUGACCGGCCACAUUGGGACUGAGACACGGCCCAAACUCCUACGGGAGGCAGCAGUGGGGAAUAUUGCACAAUGGGGGAAACCCUGAUGCAGCGACGCCGCGUGAGUGAAGAAGUACUUCGGUAUGUAAAGCUCUAUCAGCAGGGAAGAAAAUGACGGUACCUGAGGAAGAAGCCCCGGCUAACUACGUG
Molecule: ribosomal RNA, 478 nt
Filed under: uncultured bacterium
Lineage: Bacteria
Description: partial 16S ribosomal RNA
Rfam family: Bacterial small subunit ribosomal RNA
Source: RNAcentral